This 2840-nucleotide long non-coding RNA is filed under the name Sus scrofa (pig). RNAcentral describes it as "lncRNA (ENSSSCG00005031612.1)". The record is from RNAcentral. Lineage: Eukaryota; Metazoa; Chordata; Mammalia; Artiodactyla; Suidae.
UGGGCCACACUUACAUGAGAAGUUGCUCGCAGAGUCCCGCGUCACUUGGGAGUCCUGCGUGUCCCACCUGGCAGGCUGUCCCAAGGCCCUGCCAGGAGUCGGGCGGGGUGAAGGCCUGGCUGCAGCUUUGGGCCAGCUGACCGCCUGGGCCGAUUGGGUCGGCCUGGGAGGGGCAGGGCCUGCUUCGUCCCUGGGAAGUGACCUGGCCUGGACAGAGGCCUUCUGUCGGCAGUGGCAGCUGUGGCCGCAAGGGUGGCAGGCGAGGUCUCGGUGUGUACGGCGGGGUCAGCCACGGCCCGGCUCCUCUGGGGUCCGUGCCCUGAGGGCAGGGGGGCCUCGAGCAGGCGUCCAGAACCAGCCAUGGGCUGAGGGCCCCACAGGCAGCUCUUCUCUCUGGACGGUUCAUGCAGAAACCUGGUCUGCUGUGUCUCAGGACAGAAAGGCGAAAGCCAGCAGCCCGGAGCCUCCUGACAACACAGCCACUGUUUGGGGAGGUGUGGUUUUUGUGUUUUUUGCGUUUUUUCUUAGGGCGGUGUGUGCGGCAUAUGAAAGUUCCCAGGCUAGGGCCUGGGAUCCUCCGUAUGCUGCGGGGGUGGCCCUAAAUAGCAAAAAAAAAAAAAAGUAAAUCAAGUGGCCCCAGCCUAGCCCUGAAGGGUGUCCCGCGUCCCUAAGCGCAGCGAGGCUCCGUGCGGCCCCAGGAGCAAACCCGUGUGUCACAGGGCAGCCGGCGUGAGUCGGGUGCUCAGGAACCCGUGGUACCGCAUGUUCCAAACCCAGCGUCUUUAAACCGAGUUGCACAGAGAGCAAGGCUGUGUGUCGGUCGGCUGGUGGCAACGUGGCCGGAGCCUGGGGGGACCCUGCCCCCGGCUCCCCCGGGGCAGUGGCUCCGUUCUCGCUAGUUCGGUGUUGGUGCUGACUUCAGGGAACGCAAUUACUGUGACUAGUGGGGCGGCCUGUGUGUGUGCGUGCGUUUAAAAAUUAAAGUCAGGUCUGUUGAAGCUCCCUUUCAACAUACCCUUUUGUGUAUCUGGCUCUUUGAUUUUGGCAAAUGCACCCACUUGUGUCAGCUGCACAUCUUGGGAACGUUGGUGGACCUGCAGGUCUCCCUUUUGCCUUUUGUUGUUUGCCCCUCCCCCAGCUCCAGCCACCUCUGAUCUGUCCCUGUCACUCCAGGUUUCCCUUUUGCCGAAUGUCACUCGAGGAACCACGCAGUGUGCCGGCUUCUUUGCCGGAGCGUGAGGCCUCCGGGGCUGUCAGCGCGUUCGGCGAGCUGCCUGCCUGCUGCGUGGGGCCUGGUGCGUGCAUGCACCAGGGUUUGUUCAGUCGACGGACCGGUGACGCUUGAACUUGGCACUGCAGGCUGCCCUGGCGUGGUCCUCGAGGCGGCGGCUUGUUAGCAGCAGGCGGUCAUUGCUCACGGUUCCGGAGGCUGCUGUCCCUCAUCGAGGCUCCGACAGACUCCGUGUCUGACGGGAGCCCACUUCCUGGGCAGGGAGCUCUGGGGGCUUUUAGAAGAAAGAACUCGGAUCCCACUUGGGGGUGCACCCCGAGCACCUCCCACAGCGCCCGCCAGUGCCGUCGUGCCGGGGGUCAGGCUUCGGCAUGAAUUUUUGAAAGACAUGAGUGUCCACGUUGUACGGGGGGUAUUUCCGGCUUCCGCGGCGGCCGCGGGAGGCCGCUGUGCACACCCCUGCCCAGCUUUCCCUGGGAACACGUGUCCUCGCCGGGGGAGAAGGGGCCCGGCAGCGGGCUGGCCUGGACCUGUGCCAGGGCCUCCUCACAGCACUCGAUCUGGGCAGGUGGUUCCGCAAGGCUUUCGGACAGGUGUGCCCGGCACCUCACCACAGUUUCUUCUCUUUUCUUUCCUUUUAGGGCCGCACCCACGGCAUCUGAACGUUCUCAGGCUGGGGGUGGAGGUGCAGCCGCGGCUCCUCCAGAUCCUGAACCCGCUGAGCGAGGCCAGGGACCGACCGCACCCUCACACACUCGAGUCAGGUUCUUGACCUGCCGAGCCACAGCGCGCGCUCCCGCAGUGUCAGUACGCGCUUGCCUGAGGGUCCCCGAUUCCCGGAGGCGUGCCGUGGGUUUGCUCGCCUCCCUGUGCCUUCGGUCCGGUGUUUACACAGAUCUGUGGCUGGUUGUUCACAUUAGAAAGAAGCUUUUGGUUGAGGUGUGUGAGUGGUAUGUUCUGGAUGUCAGCCUUUUACCAAACAGGUAUUUUGCAAACUUUUCUCUAUUUUUUUGCACAUUUUGUGUAUGGACUCUGCCUGCUCUGAGGUCACAGAGAUUUUUUCCUGUUUUCUUGUCCGAUGUUUAUGGUUUUGGGUUUGACAUGGAGGGUUGUGGCCCAUCUUGUGGCCGAGGUCUCUGGUGUCUGGCUCGGUGUGCGAGUGUCCCAUUAGGCCUCCCAUUUCGUGACCUCUUGACCUCCGUGCCAAACGAGCGGCACUUCUCUCGCACCCAUUUCCCGCGUGUCCGUCAUCCCCUGGGCUCCUCGGCCCCCUUCCAUCCGGCAUGCGCGCUGCCCGGAUGGCCGGGACUUCGCAGGGACCUUGGUCCGGGAACGGGCAUCUCCGACUCUGUCCUUUGUUCCGUGUUGCUCAGCCAACCCUGGCCUGGCGUUUCCUGCAUAAAGUCGGGGGUUGGCUCCCUGGUUUCUACAGAAAAGAAGAGUGGCGUUUAGAUCCGGGGUAGGUUGAGCCCGUGGUUUAGACCAGUUUGGGGACAACUGGCAUCUUCACCUGUGCCGCGUCCUCGGCUGUGGCCCGCUGCCUGUUUCUGUAUGACUCACGAGCUAAGAAUGGCUCUUACGUUUUUAAAUGGUUGAGAAAAAAAAAAAA